RNAcentral lists this ribosomal RNA (253 nucleotides) under uncultured bacterium. RNAcentral describes it as "partial 16S ribosomal RNA". It matches the Rfam family "Bacterial small subunit ribosomal RNA", at positions 524 to 776 of the family's 1533-position model. The record is from RNAcentral.
UACGGAGGGUGCAAGCGUUAUCCGGAUUCACUGGGUUUAAAGGGUGCGUAGGUGGCUUUGUAAGUCAGUGGUGAAAUGCCGCAGCUCAACUGCGGAACUGCCAUUGAUACUGCUUAGCUUGAAUCAGGUCGAGGUGGAUGGAAUAUUACAUGUAGCGGUGAAAUGCUUAGAUAUGUAAUAGAACACCGAUUGCGAAGGCAGUUCACUAGGCCUGAAUUGACACUGAGGCACGAAAGCGUGGGGAUCAAACAGG